GCCGUUUGCGGCGGCUGUUGCUCCGAGAAGUAUGGCGGUGUAGUAAACACUUGCGCCAAUACUUUGCCGAGUAACCGCUGCUAGCAAUGGAGAAGUCCCUCGUUCAACCCCUCGAGCAGUUUCUGCUGCUUGCGAAGACUGCUCGUGGUGCAGCCAUCGUGGAACUGAUUAAGCAAGUUCUAGAGGCACCCGGAGUCUAUGUCUUCGGAGAGCUGCUGGACAUGCCAAACAUUCAAUCGAUGGUUGUUGAGUCAUCGCCAGAGGCGUUACCUUACUGGCGUUUACUUCAUUUGUUUGCAUUUGGUACCUACGCAGAUUAUAAAGAAAACAAAGCUCAACUUCCUGAGAUGACACCAACACAAACAAAGAAGUUGAAGCAUUUAACUAUAGUUUCAUUAGCAAACAAAUCUAAGUGCAUCCCUUACUCCGUCUUGUUACAAGAACUUGACAUCAGCAGUCUGCGAGGGCUGGAGGAUCUAAUAAUCGAGGUGAUAUACGCGAACGUUGUUCGCGGUAAGCUCGAUCAGAAGCGGCAGUGCCUAGAGAUAGAUUACACGAUCGGUCGCGACAUUCGCAUGGAGCCAGCUAUCAUCGGCAUACUCCAGGAAUGGUGCGACAACUGUGAGCUAACCCUAGCAAAUAUCGAAGAGCAAGUGAAGAAGGCCAACACGCAGCGAGAUCACCACACGAAGAUCAAAACUACAAUUGAGACUGAGGUGGCGAAUAUCAAGAAGACGCUCAAGGCGCAGGCGCAGGAAUAUGACGAGUCGAUGGCAGUCGACUCCGCCCAACCCGUCGUCACGCAGCCGGAGAAACCUGCCAAGAAAUCAUCGAAAACAAAAGGGCUGCGUGGAAGUGGAGGCAAAUUCUGGUCGAAAUCAUCGUCGUGAGAGCAGUUUGUAGUGGAUCUGCAGUUUCCCUAGAGAGUGCGAGAGAGAUGGAGAGAGAGAGAGCGAGGGAGAGAGAGAGAGAGAGAGAGAGAGAGAGAGAGAGAGAGA
This is an RNA transcript of Priapulus caudatus, 998 nucleotides long. It is a transcript of the gene named COP9 signalosome complex subunit 7b-like, with no coding region annotated. The transcript is spliced from 9 exons. NCBI's taxonomy places the organism in Eukaryota, Metazoa, Priapulida, Priapulimorpha, Priapulimorphida, Priapulidae. The record is from RefSeq and is a predicted model, not a curated record.